Molecule: long non-coding RNA, 203 nt
Filed under: Elaeis guineensis (African oil palm)
Lineage: Eukaryota; Viridiplantae; Streptophyta; Magnoliopsida; Arecales; Arecaceae
Description: long non-coding RNA (EGUI_LNC003767)
Source: RNAcentral
AUCGAUUCCUUAUUGACCACUCAUAAUCUUCAUGCACACUUCAUCAUAUCUAGAAUAUCCUACAUACAUCUUAAAGUGGUGUGCUAGAGAAUAAACUAAAGUAAGGAUCCAUGUACACAAGGUAUCAUGGUGAUCUCAGAUCAAAGGAUCACAUGCACACUCUCAAUGGAGAACCUUCUAUUGACAUGCUAUAAGGCUCCAUC